RNAcentral lists this transfer RNA (74 nucleotides) under hydrothermal vent metagenome. RNAcentral's name for it is "tRNA-Pro-GGG". It matches the Rfam family "tRNA". Rfam says of the family: Transfer RNA (tRNA) molecules are approximately 80 nucleotides in length. The record is from RNAcentral.
CGGGGCGUAGCGCAGUUGGCUAGCGCACUUGUAUGGGGUACAAGAGGUCGGAAGUUCAAAUCUUCUCGUCCCGA